This 292-nucleotide ribosomal RNA is filed under the name uncultured bacterium. Its description in RNAcentral is "partial 16S ribosomal RNA". It matches the Rfam family "Bacterial small subunit ribosomal RNA", at positions 505 to 796 of the family's 1533-position model. The record is from RNAcentral.
GUGCCAGCAGCCGCGGUAAGACGAACCGUGCAAACGUUAUUCGGAAUCACUGGGCUUAAAGAGUCCGUAGGCGGCGCGUUAGGUGGGGUGUGAAAUCCCUCGGCUCAACCGAGGAAUUGCGCUCCAAACCGGCGUGCUUGAGGAAGGUAGAGGUGAGCGGAACUGAUGGUGGAGCGGUGAAAUGCGUUGAUAUCAUCAGGAACACCGGAGGCGAAGGCGGCUCACUGGGCCUUUUCUGACGCUGAGGGACGAAAGCUAGGGUAGCGAACGGGAUUAGAAACCCCAGUAGUCC